Molecule: ribosomal RNA, 483 nt
Filed under: uncultured bacterium
Lineage: Bacteria
Description: partial 16S ribosomal RNA
Rfam family: Bacterial small subunit ribosomal RNA
Source: RNAcentral
AGUGAACGCUGCCGGGUUGUUUAAACCUGCAAGUCGGAACGAGAAGGGGUUUUAGCUGCCUAUAAUUUUCGCCAAGUUGGCGCAGGGGGGGGAAUGGUAAAGUUAUAAUGCUUCUAAUUAGGGGUUAACAAUGGAAACGUUUUGUUAUAACUUAUAAUCCUUUAUAAAAUAAGUUAAUCAGGGAAAGAUUUAUUGGUAAGAGAUUAGCCUGUAUUGUAUCAGUUAGUUGGUGGGGUAAUGGCUUACCAAGACUAUGACACAUAACUGGUUUGAGAGGAUGAUCAGUCACACUGGAACUGAGACACGGUCCAGACUCCUACGGGAGGCAGCAGUGGGGAAUAUUGCACAAUGGACGAAAGUCUGAUGCAGCAACGCCGCGUGGAGGAUGACACAUUUCGGUGCGUAAACUCCUUUUAUAUGAGGAGAUAAUGACGGUAUUAUAUGAAUAAGCACCGGCUAACUCCGUGCCAGCCGCCGCCGUAA